Molecule: ribosomal RNA, 432 nt
Filed under: uncultured bacterium
Lineage: Bacteria
Description: partial 16S ribosomal RNA
Rfam family: Bacterial small subunit ribosomal RNA
Source: RNAcentral
AACGAACGCUGGCGGCAUGCCUAACACAUGCAAGUCGAACGAGACCUUCGGGUCUAGUGGCGCACGGGUGCGUAACGCGUGGGAACCUGCCCUUAGGUUCGGAAUAACUCCCCGAAAGGGGUGCUAAUACCGGAUAAUGUCUUCGGACCAAAGAUUUAUCGCCUUUGGAUGGGCCCGCGUUGGAUUAGCUAGUUGGUAGGGUAAAAGCCUACCAAGGCGACGAUCCAUAGCUGGUCUGAGAGGAUGAUCAGCCACACUGGGACUGAGACACGGCCCAGACUCCUACGGGCGGCAGCAGUGGGGAAUAUUGGACAAUGGGCGAAAGCCUGAUCCAGCAAUGCCGCGUGAGUGAUGAAGGCCUUAGGGUUGUAAAGCUCUUUUACCCGGGAUGAUAAUGACAGUACCGGGAGAAUAAGCUCCGGCUAACUCCGU